GGACGGGGCCCGCACAAGCGGUGGAGUAUGUGGUUUAAUUCGAUGCAACGCGAAGAACCUUACCUGGUCUUGACAUCCCGGAGACCCUUAGGAAACUAGGGGGUGCUUCCAUCUGGAAGAAUCUGGAGACAGGUGCUGCAUGGCUGUCGUCAGCUCGUGUCGUGAGAUGUUGGGUUAAGUCCCGCAACGAGCGCAACCCUUGCCUUUAGUUGCCAGCAGUUCGGCUGGGCACUCUAAAGGGACUGCCGGUGUUAAACCGGAGGAAGGUGGGGAUGACGUCAAGUCCUCAUGGCCUUUAUGACCAGGGCUACACACGUACUACAAUGGCCGAUACAAAGGGCAGCGACACUGCGAGGUGAAGCCAAUCCCGUAAAAUCGGUCUCAGUCCGGAUUGGAGUCUGCAACUCGACUCCAUGAAGUUGGAAUCGCUAGUAAUCGCAGAUCAGCCAAGCUGCGGUGAAUACGUUCCCGGGCCUU
This 477-nucleotide ribosomal RNA is filed under the name uncultured Desulfobulbus sp. Its description in RNAcentral is "bacterial SSU rRNA". It matches the Rfam family "Bacterial small subunit ribosomal RNA", at positions 916 to 1381 of the family's 1533-position model. Lineage: Bacteria; Pseudomonadati; Thermodesulfobacteriota; Desulfobulbia; Desulfobulbales; Desulfobulbaceae. The record is from RNAcentral.